Molecule: ribosomal RNA, 468 nt
Filed under: uncultured bacterium
Lineage: Bacteria
Description: partial 16S ribosomal RNA
Rfam family: Bacterial small subunit ribosomal RNA
Source: RNAcentral
GACGAACGCUGGCGGCGUGCUUAACACAUGCAAGUCGAACGGAAAGGCCCUGCUUUUGUGGGGUGCUCGAGUGGCGAACGGGUGAGUAACACGUGAGUAACCUGCCCUUGACUUUGGGAUAACUUCAGGAAACUGGGGCUAAUACCGGAUAGGAGCUCCUGCUGCAUGGUGGGGGUUGGAAAGUUUCGGCGGUUGGGGAUGGACUCGCGGCUUAUCAGCUUGUUGGUGGGGUAGUGGCUUACCAAGGCUUUGACGGGUAGCCGGCCUGAGAGGGUGACCGGCCACAUUGGGACUGGGAUACGGCCCAGACUCCUACGGGAGGCAGCAGUGGGGAAUAUUGCACAAUGGGCGGAAGCCUGAUGCAGCAACGCCGCGUGCGGGAUGACAGCCUUCGGGUUGUAAACCGCUUUCGCCUGUGACGAAGCGUGAGUGACGGUAAUGGGUAAAGAAGCACCGGCUAACUACGUG